This is a non-coding RNA of Brassica napus (rape), 125 nucleotides long. The record is from Rfam. Lineage: Eukaryota; Viridiplantae; Streptophyta; Magnoliopsida; Brassicales; Brassicaceae.
GGAAUAUAAGAAACCGUUUCUUAACUUUUAACUAAAAAAUCUAAGAACCGACUCUUAAAUAAGAUUUUAGGAGCCGGUUCUUAGUUUUUUUUUGUUAAAAGUUAAGAGACGGUUUCUUAUAUUCC